This 79-nucleotide transfer RNA is filed under the name Pseudomonas syringae pv. actinidiae ICMP 19100. Its description in RNAcentral is "tRNA-Glu". The stretch from base 16 to 71 matches the Rfam family "tRNA", at positions 10 to 63 of the family's 71-position model. Rfam says of the family: Transfer RNA (tRNA) molecules are approximately 80 nucleotides in length. Their secondary structure includes four short double-helical elements and three loops (D, anti-codon, and T loops). Further hydrogen bonds mediate the characteristic L-shaped molecular structure. tRNAs have two regions of fundamental functional importance: the anti-codon, which is responsible for specific mRNA codon recognition, and the 3' end, to which the tRNAs corresponding amino acid is attached (by aminoacyl-tRNA synthetases). tRNAs cope with the degeneracy of the genetic code in two manners: having more than one tRNA (with a specific anti-codon) for a particular amino acid; and 'wobble' base-pairing, i.e. permitting non-standard base-pairing at the 3rd anti-codon position. The record is from RNAcentral. Lineage: Bacteria; Pseudomonadati; Pseudomonadota; Gammaproteobacteria; Pseudomonadales; Pseudomonadaceae.
GGCUGUGUCCCCUUCGUCUAGUGGCCUAGGACACCGCCCUUUCACGGCGGUAACAGGGGUUCGAGUCCCCNCGCCGCUC